Molecule: long non-coding RNA, 566 nt
Organism: Colossoma macropomum (tambaqui)
Lineage: Eukaryota; Metazoa; Chordata; Actinopteri; Characiformes; Serrasalmidae
Exons: 3
Source: RefSeq, a predicted model, not a curated record
UUGGAGGAGGAAGAGUUUGUUCAGUUUUGUACCCAUAUCGAAAAGACGCUGGCCGAACUUUCCGGAUCGGAAUCUGGCUCAAACUGAAACGGCAGAACCGACGCCAUUGGAAAAAUAGCCACCGUGCUGUUCACAGCUGCUCAAGAAAGAAGGGUCUGUCUGCAGACUGCAAGGCAGAGGCGGAGCAUGUGGGGGCGGAACCACUCUGGGGGUUGACCAAUCAGAACAGAGUGGUAUACAGAUGUGGAUGAAACAGCAAUACCACCGGACGCCAUGAGUUAACCAACCAUGAAAUCUGGGGGUUGGCACCCCCAUUUCCCCCAGCUCUGGCUUACCCUGACCCUGUCCACUACCUGAUAACGAGAACAAACAGUGUCACUCAUGAGAAGCACCACUCUUAUGAAGCAUGAAAAAGCACUUUUUUUUUCUACCGGUGGGGAAAAAAAAACUUUAACAAGUCUCAAGUUUAUUUGAAACUGAAGUAAUACAUUUGUAGAACUUUUGAUCUGAAGACCACUGACAAAAAAAAUCCUCAAAAUUAAAGUUACACUAAUUCAUUCAGGGAA